UAAACUAAUAGCCUUCAAAGCUAUAAAAAAAAGUUUUAAUCUUUUAAAUCUUA
RNAcentral lists this transfer RNA (53 nucleotides) under Petrolisthes armatus (green porcelain crab). RNAcentral's name for it is "partial tRNA-Trp". Lineage: Eukaryota; Metazoa; Arthropoda; Malacostraca; Decapoda; Porcellanidae. The record is from RNAcentral.